This 1525-nucleotide ribosomal RNA is filed under the name Parabacteroides distasonis. Its description in RNAcentral is "bacterial SSU rRNA". It matches the Rfam family "Bacterial small subunit ribosomal RNA". The record is from RNAcentral. Lineage: Bacteria; Pseudomonadati; Bacteroidota; Bacteroidia; Bacteroidales; Tannerellaceae.
ACAACGAAGAGUUUGAUCCUGGCUCAGGAUGAACGCUAGCGACAGGCUUAACACAUGCAAGUCGAGGGGCAGCACAGGUAGCAAUACCGGGUGGCGACCGGCGCACGGGUGAGUAACGCGUAUGCAACUUGCCUAUCAGAGGGGGAUAACCCGGCGAAAGUCGGACUAAUACCGCAUGAAGCAGGGAUCCCGCAUGGGAAUAUUUGCUAAAGAUUCAUCGCUGAUAGAUAGGCAUGCGUUCCAUUAGGCAGUUGGCGGGGUAACGGCCCACCAAACCGACGAUGGAUAGGGGUUCUGAGAGGAAGGUCCCCCACAUUGGUACUGAGACACGGACCAAACUCCUACGGGAGGCAGCAGUGAGGAAUAUUGGUCAAUGGGCGUAAGCCUGAACCAGCCAAGUCGCGUGAGGGAUGAAGGUUCUAUGGAUCGUAAACCUCUUUUAUAAGGGAAUAAAGUGCGGGACGUGUCCCGUUUUGUAUGUACCUUAUGAAUAAGGAUCGGCUAACUCCGUGCCAGCAGCCGCGGUAAUACGGAGGAUCCGAGCGUUAUCCGGAUUUAUUGGGUUUAAAGGGUGCGUAGGCGGCCUUUUAAGUCAGCGGUGAAAGUCUGUGGCUCAACCAUAGAAUUGCCGUUGAAACUGGGAGGCUUGAGUAUGUUUGAGGCAGGCGGAAUGCGUGGUGUAGCGGUGAAAUGCUUAGAUAUCACGCAGAACCCCGAUUGCGAAGGCAGCCUGCCAAGCCAUUACUGACGCUGAUGCACGAAAGCGUGGGGAUCAAACAGGAUUAGAUACCCUGGUAGUCCACGCAGUAAACGAUGAUCACUAGCUGUUUGCGAUACACUGUAAGCGGCACAGCGAAAGCGUUAAGUGAUCCACCUGGGGAGUACGCCGGCAACGGUGAAACUCAAAGGAAUUGACGGGGGCCCGCACAAGCGGAGGAACAUGUGGUUUAAUUCGAUGAUACGCGAGGAACCUUACCCGGGUUUGAACGCAUUUUGACAGCUCUGGAAACAGAGCCUCUAGCAAUAGCGAUUUGCGAGGUGCUGCAUGGUUGUCGUCAGCUCGUGCCGUGAGGUGUCGGCUUAAGUGCCAUAACGAGCGCAACCCUUGCCACUAGUUACUAACAGGUAAAGCUGAGGACUCUGGUGGGACUGCCAGCGUAAGCUGCGAGGAAGGCGGGGAUGACGUCAAAUCAGCACGGCCCUUACAUCCGGGGCGACACACGUGUUACAAUGGCGUGGACAAAGGGAGGCCACCUGGCGACAGGGAGCGAAUCCCCAAACCACGUCUCAGUUCGGAUCGGAGUCUGCAACCCGACUCCGUGAAGCUGGAUUCGCUAGUAAUCGCGCAUCAGCCAUGGCGCGGUGAAUACGUUCCCGGGCCUUGUACACACCGCCCGUCAAGCCAUGGGAGCCGGGGGUACCUGAAGUCCGUAACCGAAAGGAUCGGCCUAGGGUAAAACUGGUGACUGGGGCUAAGUCGUAACAAGGUAGCCGUACCGGAAGGUGCGGCUGGAACACCUCCUUU